Molecule: ribosomal RNA, 374 nt
Filed under: uncultured organism
Description: bacterial SSU rRNA
Rfam family: Bacterial small subunit ribosomal RNA
Source: RNAcentral
CAGAGACUGCAAGCGUUAUUCGGAUUCACUGGGCGUAAAGGGUGCGCAGGCGGCCAAGUGUGUGAAAGGCGUGAAAGCCCGGGGCUUAACCCCGGAAUUGCACCUCAAACUACAUGGCUAGAGCAUUGGAGAGGGUAGCAGAAUUCAUGGUGUAGCAGUGAAAUGCGUAGAUAUCAUGAGGAAUACCAGAGGCGAAGGCGGCUACCUGGACAAUUGCUGACGCUCAGGCACGAAAGCGUGGGGAGCAAAAGGGAUUAGAUACCCCUGUAGUCCACGCCCUAAACGGUGCACACUAGGUCUUGGCGGAUUCGACCCCACCAGGGCCCAAGCUAACGCGUUAAGUGUGCCGCCUGAGGACUACGGCCGCAAGGCUA